This 251-nucleotide ribosomal RNA is filed under the name uncultured prokaryote. Its description in RNAcentral is "partial 16S rRNA". It matches the Rfam family "Bacterial small subunit ribosomal RNA", at positions 525 to 775 of the family's 1533-position model. The record is from RNAcentral.
ACGUAUGGGGCAAGCGUUGUUCGGAAUUAUUGGGCGUAAAGGGCGUCUAGGCGGGGGAUUAAGUUCGAUGUGAAAGCUAUGGGCUCAACCCAUAAACUGCAUCUAAGAAAGGUUCUCUUGAGUCCAGGAAAGGAGAGCGGAUUUCCAGGUCUAGCGGUGAAAUGCGUAGAUAUCUGGAAGAACCCCCGUGGCGAAGGUGGUUCUCUGGCCUAGGAUGGACUCUGAAGCGCGAAAGCGUGGGGAGCGAACAG